This 279-nucleotide long non-coding RNA is filed under the name Setaria viridis. RNAcentral's name for it is "long non-coding RNA (SVIR_LNC003815)". The record is from RNAcentral. Lineage: Eukaryota; Viridiplantae; Streptophyta; Magnoliopsida; Poales; Poaceae.
GGUAGUGGGAGUCCAGAUCUGGUUUUGGGAGGCUUUAGGAGGGGGUGGGGGACUAAAAUUUUUGAGGCUCCUAAAAGAUUUUAGUCACUUUUUAGGAGGAAUGUUUGGCACUUUAGUCACAUUUUAGUCACUUUUUAGGAGCUAAAGUUUUAGGAGGGCGGAAACAAACAGGCUCUAAGAUUGUUUUCCUUGGUUAUUGUGCUAAGAGGAAAUACAAUGGAGGUAGUAGGUUCUACAAUCCACAUGGCAGUAACUGGUAGGUAACUAGUUGGUCUUCCA